UGAAUCCAUUGUCAGGAACAAUCAUAAGAAAUGUUAAUCUUGGAGAAAGAGGCUGUCUUGUAGAACACAAAUGGAACUUUAAAAAAGAAAGCACGGUCCAUGAAACUUAACAGUCCUGCUCUCAGUAGGAGGACUUGACCUGGGAUUUGCUGUGAACCAUGGGAUGUGGCUGAAAGUGAUGAUGGGUCCAUCCCAAGUGGAGGCUUUAAGAGGCAUCACAUUCUGCUUUUACCCUUGAGUGUCUGCCCUCUGCCAUGAUAACAAUAGGUCCCAUGGAAUGGGUUGAAUGGUGUCCACCCUCCUCCCAAAGAUAUGUUCAUCCAGAACCUGGAAAUGUCACCUUAUUUGGAAAUGGGAUCUUUGCAGAUGCAAUUAAGUUAAGAAUCUCUUGAUGAAAUCAUACUGGAUUAUCUAGGUGGGUCCUAAAUCCAAUGGCAAGUGCCCUUAUAAGAAAAAGGCAGAGGAAGAUUUGAGAUGUACAAGUGACAAAAGAAAAGGGGCUGUGAAAGCAGAGGCAGAGACUGGAGUGAUACAUGUACAAGCCAAGGAAUGCUAAGGAUUGCCAGUGACCACCAGGAGCUAGGAGAGAGGCAUGGAACAGAUUCUCCCUCAGCACCUCCAGAAAAAGCCAACAACCCUGUCAACACCUUAAUUUUGGACUCCUGGCCUCCAGAACUGUGAAAGAAUAAAUUUCUGUUGUUUUAAGCCACCCAGUUUGUGGUAAUUUGUUACAGCAGCGUAGGAAUCCAAUACAGCCCAGAUCGUGGCUGCUCUUUAGCUUGAGUCCCAGAAGAGGAGACACAAAGAGCUAUGUUGGGCCAGUGAGCCCAGCCAGGACCAGCAGAGUUGCUACUGACCAAGGAGUAAAAAAUAAACAUUUGUUAUAAGCCACUGAGAUUUUGGAGCAUUUUUUUUUUUUACCAAGAAAAAGCUAAGUAAUAUUUCUAUAGAGUAAGAAUUAAACUAAAGAAAUUUAAGCUAAAGAAUAUUUGGUUACUUCAAGAUGUAAAAAUUUCUGUUCAACAAAAGCCACCAUAUACAAAGUACAAAGACAAGCCAAGAGAAGAUGUGCAAUGUGUAAAACAAAGGAUUAGAAUCUAGAAUAUCAAAGAAUGCCUGAAAAUCAAUGGAGGUGGGUGUGGAAGGGAGAGAGAGAAAGAAACACACACAGACACACACACACACACACAGAAACCCAGUGAAAAAUGGGAAUAGGAUAUAACAAUCCACAGAAGAAAAAAUGCAAAGGCCAAAAACCGUGAAACAAUGCUCAAACUCAUUAGAAACCAGGAAAAUUAAAACUUUGACACCAGUUUACAGCCAGCAAAUUGGUAAAGAAAAAGACAUUUAAUUUUGAAAAACUAAAUGUUGUUGAUAAUGUGUAUACAUUUGGAUAAGAAAGUAAAUUGGUACAUUCACUUUACAGAGUGAUUUGGCAAUAUCUAGUGAUGUUUAGCAUAUGCAUUCCCUGCCUAGCAAUUCCAUUUUUAGGUAUAUCCUCUUGGGAAGCUUUCAUAUUAUUUAGUAAGGAGACACAUAAAAGGCAGCUCUUUAUACAGUAUUGUCUGUAAUAGUAAUAUCAUUGGCAAAAAUCCCAGCAGCAAUUAGUGGGGGAGAGGCUACAUAAACUACAGUGUAGAGUGGAAUACUACAGAGCAGCUAACAUGAAUGAACUAGGUGUAUUUGAUCUCAAAAACAAAUUGUAUGAAAAAAAAGCAAGUUGCAGUUGGAAUGAUUCUAUUCAUAUGAAUUAUUUAUGAAUACAUGUAAUGGUGGACUAGAACCACACCAAAUUCAACAUAGUGGUUGCCCAUAAGAAGGGAGAGAAAAUGGUACUAGCCACAAAAUAAAGAACUUGAAAUUUAUUGACAACAUAUAAAAGAAGAUCUGAAGCAAUUAUGACAAAAUUAUUACAUUUGUUAAUUCUGCAAAGCAUGUACACAGGUUUUGUACUAUCCUUAAACUUUUUUUUUUUUUUUAAGAAACUGCUGUACAGAUGAGAACUCUCUCCCUAGGGCACUAGUGUCUGGUCACCUAUGGGACACUGGGAAAGGUUACUGCCCCUCUUUGUCCUCAGACCAGUGGUGCCCUUUACCAGGGUCAGCCUGACUAGCAGGGAGAGGGGACCUGCCCUGAAUGUGAAGUCCUCAACUUAGUCACACAUUUGUAUUAAGGCUUUGACACUAUAGAAGCAAUAGUUACCCUUAAAGGCUAACACCUUAAGCCAUAGCCUGCCUUAGUGCCUUAAUGCCGAUUUUUUUAUGAAUAGGGUGUGGCUGAAGUGAGAGCCUGCAGUGCUGGGGCAAAGAAGAAAGACGUGCUGGUCUCUCGGGGCACCAGGUGGAAGAAGAGGGGCAUGGUUGUCUGGGAUAAGGGUGAGGACCUGACAAAAUGGAAAGUGUGUGAUCAGAGAAGAUCCAGUGUGGAUGGAAGAAGGACCAUCUGAGACAAAUGUUAUCUUUCCCUACCUCUACCCAACAGGACUGGACAAUUCCCUCAGUCGCCCACAAGAAACCUCUGUCUCCCUAUUUCUUGAGCUAGGGAGGAUAACCGAUGGCUCUAUGGUUUCCACUCUUCCCUCAGUCAUUUCUAUUGGAUUUGCUCUACCCUCAAAGAAAGCAAAAAGGUUACAUUCAAGAGAGAUUCCUCCUGUCACUCAGAGCUGUAACUGGAUUCUUCUCAGAUAGUGCUUCAUUCAUUCAUUCAACCAACUCCUGCACACCUAUUACCUGCAAGGCUUAGUGUUAUGUUCUGUGCCUUCUAUAGUCUUGUAAAAACCCUGCAACUGCCUUUGAAGAAUCACCGUUCUGAUGGGGAAGCUCAGACAAGUACACGAGAUGGACUCCCAGAUGGCAAGUUCUAAGAGAGACCCCCUUGCUCCGCAUGUGUUUAUUCAGCUGUAUGUGUUUCCUCUUCCUGUCCCAGGCUUACCGAAGACUGUCUGAAAUCCAACCGACACUGUGUGGUGAGACCUGGCGUCCCCUUUUAACCAGAAAACAUGUCUUCUCUCAUUUCAGGAAAAAAAUAAAAGCCAAUCUCAUAACUGGCUUUGCAUUGCAGACAUACUUGUGAGGGGUGCAAAUAAGAAAAUAUUUAAAAUAUUUGAUCUAUUUUGGGUGAGGUUUUGUAGCUUUGGCCUGACAGAAUGUCAUCUGAGAGGCAGUGAUUUCUCUUGGGGGGCAGACUAUUUUUAAGGUUCAAAAAAAAGAGAAAACAUAUUUUCAAAGAGAUAGUUGAGUCUGGUACUACAUGGGGAAAGAUGGCUGUUUGGAACAAGCAAACUAGCUACGUAACUUAGAUGCAUCUAAUCACUGAUCAAGCUCUGCUGCGGUUUGAUCUCACUGUACCACCGAGAGAGCAUGUGUGAGACCUGAGAUGUCUUUGCAGCCUCCCACGUCUCCUUCACACAGGCUGUCCAGCCGCACCUCACCUCAUGCUCUCUCGUGCUCUCCCCUUUCUCCACUGGUCAGUGCCCUCUGUCUAAAAACAUGUCCAAGCCUUGGGGGAAAAUCACCUUUGGGUCUUGUUUCUUUCAGCUUCACUCCUCUCUUUUCUUUCGAUGUCAAAUUUCUCCAAAUAAUCAAUUUAUGAUGCAGUCGCCCUCCACCCCGACUCUUCUUCCAUGACUUCCCUUCUUCUUGGCCCCUGGACAUUUUGACUUCAGGCCCCCCUCUUCUGAGCAGUCCUGUCUGUGAUCCCUGAGGAGCUGAAUCCUGCACAGUCUGCCCCUCAGCCCCCGAGCCCUCUUGGCUCUGUCUUUGAUAGCCCCUGCCACUGGUGUCCUGACUGGUGUCUCCGGCCUCUCUGAUUUUCCCACUUGGUCUUUCUUUUCCUACAGUGUGGACAAACCCAGGCCUGAUCUCUUUCUUAGAGAAUAAUAAUAUCUACUUCACAGGGCAGAUGUAAGAAUUAAAUGAGAUUAAAUGUCUAUGAAGUUGCUUUGUGAACUAAAUGCUCAUUUAUUUAUUCAUGAAGUACCUUCCCCAUACUGAAACUUUUCUCAGUCCUGUAUAAGGCACUGUACAGCCUCUUCCCAUAAAGGGGUUUGCCUUUUGCUGGCAGACACAGGUUCUCAAAGAAACAAAGUAAAGUGGGCAGGUAUUGUCAAAAAAAUUCUGUACAGUGAGGGUCACACUGAGCUACCAGAGAGGGAGAGGUCAUUUUCAUCUUAGUGGUUUUUUUUUUUUUUUAAUCUCACUUGUUCUCACGUUUUCAACAAUUACCUCUUCUGAUGUGAAAAAUAAAAAUACAUAUUUAGCCCUGAA
This is a long non-coding RNA of Mesoplodon densirostris (Blainville's beaked whale), 4265 nucleotides long. RefSeq lists it as uncharacterized. The transcript is spliced from 2 exons. The record is from RefSeq and is a predicted model, not a curated record. NCBI's taxonomy places the organism in Eukaryota, Metazoa, Chordata, Mammalia, Artiodactyla, Ziphiidae.